UAUUACUGAGUGGCAUAUAAUCAAUUUCUUCAGUACCACACCAUCUGAAUCUCCUCUUCUUGAAGACUUCAGCAGUCAACUUUCAUCUUUACAGCUUGAUGGAAAUGUUGAUCGGAGAUCAUGGAAUGAGAAACUUGGUAAAUCUGAAUUCACAUUGGCCUUUAUUCUGUUACUUGGAGGUCGUAGUGGGCCAUCUUUUGGACAUCUUCCUGAUCCCAACAGUCUAAGUAAAUCAGUACAAGAAUUUGCUAGCUGGAUAAUGUGGGGGAGAACAGAAGCAG
This 281-nucleotide unclassified non-coding RNA is filed under the name Hevea brasiliensis (rubber tree). Lineage: Eukaryota; Viridiplantae; Streptophyta; Magnoliopsida; Malpighiales; Euphorbiaceae. The record is from RNAcentral.